Molecule: long non-coding RNA, 1057 nt
Organism: Triticum aestivum (bread wheat)
Lineage: Eukaryota; Viridiplantae; Streptophyta; Magnoliopsida; Poales; Poaceae
Exons: 3
Source: RefSeq, a predicted model, not a curated record
CCCCCCCCCCGCCAAUCUCCACCGCGGCGGGCUGCCAUUCCUCCGACUAUGGCGCCGCCGUGCCAGCACCUCCUGCAUCUGUGAGCAGCCUAGCUCCCCUUCCCCGCCGCAAAUCUCCACCGCAGCGGGGCUUAAUCUAUUGCCCCACUCCGUUGCAACUUAGUCGUACGAGCUGACAGCCUCUCGUACCCUGUUGCAUCAGGGCAAGGAGAAGGGAUCAGGGGCGCCACCGUCGGCAAUGUUGUACAUGCGUCGGGUUCAGUAAUUUCAGCAACGUCGCCGGUAGCUUCUCGUCUAACACAUAGCCGAGUGGCUAGCUGAACUGGAGUAUCCAAACGCCGCACUCUUCAGUAUGAGGAGGGCGAUGGAUCGAGGUUGGAUGAGUCAACCAAGAACUAGUGUUGCUUACAAAGAUGGUGUCGGGCAAUUUCUGUCUUUUGCAUUCCAUGAUGUUCCAGCUGGUGAUAGAAUUAUCUGUCCUUGUGUAAAUUGCCGAAAUAAAGCUAGAGGAUGAGUUUGGGUUCAUUCUUGUGAACAAGUCUCGGGAAAUACACACAGGAGAUCAGUUAGAGGAUGAUCCUUUUGUAUUUUCUUCCCAAGUGCAGCAGGUUUUCUAUGUUCAAGAUCCAAAAGCUGAAUUAUGGAAUGUAGUAGUGAAAGUCAGGCCUCGUGACCUUUUUGACAUGGGUGAUGAAGAAUCAUCAGAUGAAACAGAUUAGAGCAUUGUGCUUUUGGUUCUUCGCAGGCGGCCAGCAGGAAAUUCAGCAUUCAGAACAAUUCAGGCUGAACUAUUGGUGGAAGCUCUUUGCUGGUGUGGUUCUUUGCAUGCAGAUGCAAUUUUAGUUAUGGUUUUAGUAGUAGUUUAGGAGCACACUGUCAGAAUGAUUUAUAAAGUUUAUGGUUGCUGUCUUUUUUUCGUACUACUUCAGGGCACAACCCAAGUGUACUUGGUUGUGAAUUGUGCAAGACACUAGACAAGGUUACAUUAUUUUUUAUGCUUUGCAUGUUGUUUCCAAGAAUCUAGUGGAAGUUAGGAAUGGCUGUUUCCAAGAAUCUA